AUUAAUCUAAACCAAAUAAUUACGAAAGAAAAAUAAAAUAAAGAAUUAAUAUUCUAAGAAAAUAAAAUUAAUGAAACCAAAAAACACCAAACUCAAGGAUAGAACCUUGAGCCUUCUAGGAAAAAUAAGAUGUUUUAACCACCAAACCAUAAAUGACUAGUCAUUAAAUUAAUACAACAAAAUCUUUAUAAAACAAAUAUUAUGCUGAAAUCAAUUAAAUUAAAAAAAAAAAUCAACACAAACUUGCAAUAGCAG
This 255-nucleotide long non-coding RNA is filed under the name Lathyrus oleraceus (garden pea). RNAcentral's name for it is "Pisum sativum (pea) long non-coding RNA (PSAT_LNC012170)". Lineage: Eukaryota; Viridiplantae; Streptophyta; Magnoliopsida; Fabales; Fabaceae. The record is from RNAcentral.